Molecule: non-coding RNA, 251 nt
Organism: Camelina sativa (false flax)
Lineage: Eukaryota; Viridiplantae; Streptophyta; Magnoliopsida; Brassicales; Brassicaceae
Source: RefSeq, a predicted model, not a curated record
UAUACUUUUUUCUCUUAGGUUCUGUCUCAGCUGAUAUCUGGACCACGACUACAUGAAUUAUAUGAAUAUUGGACUAGUGAAACUUUAGCCGCUGUUUUUUACACUAAAUAGGAAGCAGAUCUCAGGACGAACAGAUUUAGUUUGCUGAAUGUCAUUGUUUGUGGCUAACUUAUUUGUGCAUUGAGGUGCAACUUCAGUUUCAUGGCAGUAGUGAUCCAAAGGAAGACGCAAUCUUCGACUAUCGGAGGAAG